GAUGAACGCUGGCGGCGUGCCUAAUACAUGCAAGUCGAGCGAACAGACGAGGAGCUUGCUCCUCUGACGUUAGCGGCAGACGGGUGAGUAACACGUGGAUAACCUACCUAUAAGACUGGGAUAACUUCGGGAAACCGGAGCUAAUACCGGAUAAUAUAUUGAACCGCAUGGUUCAAUAGUGAAAGACGGUUUUGCUGUCACUUAUAGAUGGAUCCGCGCCGCAUUAGCUAGUUGGUAAGGUAAUGGCUUACCAAGGCAACGAUGCGUAGCCGACCUGAGAGGGUGAUCGGCCACACUGGAACUGAGACACGGUCCAGACUCCUACGGGAGGCAGCAGUAGGGAAUCUUCCGCAAUGGGCGAAAGCCUGACGGAGCAACGCCGCGUGAGUGAUGAAGGUCUUCGGAUCGUAAAACUCUGUUAUUAGGGAAGAACAAAUGUGUAAGUAACUAUGCACGUCUUGACGGUACCUAAUCAGAAAGCCACGGCUAACUACGUG
Molecule: ribosomal RNA, 497 nt
Filed under: uncultured bacterium
Lineage: Bacteria
Description: partial 16S ribosomal RNA
Rfam family: Bacterial small subunit ribosomal RNA
Source: RNAcentral